AGAGACCGAUAGCGAACAAGUHCCGUGAGGGAAAGAUGAAAAGUACUUUGAAAAGAGAGUCAAACAGCGCGUGAAAUUGUUGARAGGGAAACGAUUGAAGUCAGUCGGACBKWCGGGAAAUCAACUAUCUUGAGUGCGAUUUUGUGGGUGGUGAUGAGCUGUAA
RNAcentral lists this ribosomal RNA (164 nucleotides) under uncultured Glomus. Its description in RNAcentral is "partial 25S ribosomal RNA". It matches the Rfam family "Eukaryotic large subunit ribosomal RNA", at positions 329 to 492 of the family's 3401-position model. Lineage: Eukaryota; Fungi; Glomeromycota; Glomeromycetes; Glomerales; Glomeraceae. The record is from RNAcentral.